AGUCAAACUGCACAGACACACAGCCCUGUUUGUUGAAUGUACUGGCGGAAUGUAAAUUGAAGAUAUCGGGUUUAUUUGGCAGUGCAUCUAUGGGCAUCUUCUCCACAGGAAGGUGCCAGACACAGGCGAGGGGGGGUGGGGGACACAUGCCUGCUGCUGACCUCAGGGCAGGACCAGGGCUGGAGCAGGCCCCCGGGGACCGGUGGGGAAGCUGGGGAGCAUGCCCCAAAGGCUGACGUUGUCAUAGGCAGGCAGUUUUAUAAAAGUGUUAAAAACCAUCUUCCGAAUGACUCACAUUCCCAAAAGCUGUUCUGGAACAUUCUGUGGAACAUAGCCCUAAGGUUGCUAACCGCCUCUGAGCAUGUACAUGUUUGAUGCUUUAAAACAAACUUUUUCGAGACACAUGGAAAACUGUACAAAUUUCUGCAAAGAGCACAUUAAGUAGGCAACAGCUCUGUGCUAGAGCGUAACCCUUACCCUCCCAGGGAGCCUCCUGACAUGUUACUGUAAUGUACAAUCUGUUAAAAAAAUAAAUAGCUAUUUAUGUGUGCUUUGAUUUAUGGUUAAAUAUGAAGCCGGACUGAGACAGCAGGCAGGACAGAUGGGUAUGUGUGUUAAACGUGGUUAGAAACCAGAUACACAAUCAGACAGUGCUGGAUAUGAAAGUAAAGAAUGGAUAAAAUACAAUGUAAAUGAAACAAGAUGUAUUUGUGACAGAGUACUCUGCAGAGUAUUAUUGCUUGAUAAUAAUGAUGUACUCUGCAGAGUAUUAUUGCUUGAUAAUAAUGAGUACUCUGCAGAGUAUUAUUGCUUGAUAAUAAUGAAUACAGAAUCACAGUCUCCCAACAGGGGUUGAAAUGGAAAUUAGUACAUUUAUUUCCAGUUGUGUAAAAUGUUUGUAAAUGCACUGGUCAAAAUUCAAAAACAGGAUUAUAAAUCUAUUUGAGCCGUGACUCUGCGAUCUGGCCAUUUCUUCCUAGGCUGAAAGAGAGCGUGGGUGUUUUUCUGUGACACUCAAUGCCUACGUUUAGGAUCUGCAGGAUGCUCUUCUGCUGACCCUGAGUACCUGGUGUAGGGUGUGUUUUUGUGAGAAAUAAGAUCCGCCGUCUCCAUUAGCGUUUGAAAGACAGCCCCUGUGAUGAUCAGCCGGGAGGCUGCAGAGGAACACCAGCUUUCCUCAGGAGGACUCGAGUUCAGUUUGAAGACCUCGAGAGUGCUGCACUCAAAAGAAAAAAGGCUAUUGUAACCUUAUCAAGUGUUUCCUCACGCCUCAGUGGAGCAUUUCUCUGUCUUCCUGCCUCUAAUCCCAGAGCUGUGUGCAAAAUACCCACAGAAGGUCUUUGUCUCCAUCCACAAAGCCGAGCGGCUUGGAGGAACGUGCAGCAGAAGUUAACUAUCUCUUGUUUGAUGUGAUCUUUAUCCUGCAUGUGAAAUCAGCACUCUGUCUGGGGACUCAGCUGUCCAUAGUGAUUAUCGUUUUUAUUUACUCCUGCCUAUAAGUUUGUCUUGAACCGGGCCUUUUAUUCAGGCUGUUAAAUUAUACAAUUUUUGAAUAAUUCCAAAAUAAUCUUAUUUUGGAAAAUGCCAUGAACUGGAUCAUUCAUUUUGGCAACAUAAUUUGUUUGGGUCCAAUGCAUAAACAAAACUAAUCAAAACAGUUAAACGAUAAGUAGCGUAAAUGCGACAGAGCUCAUUUGCAGCCUGUUGUGUAAAGCUUCAGCAGCGCUGUUUUUGGGGUGAAGGCACAUGGCAAAAUGGGGCUGAAAUGCAUUACUUGCACUUUUGUAUUAUUGCCGUUUCUGCCAAUCUGCAGCAGGAACGCCAUGCACCGUGUUUUUUACCUAUUCAGGGCAGAUUUUGGGGAUAGAAUUCACCUUCUUGUGUCACUUGUUUUCCUCUCUUUAGGAAGCAUUCCUCCACUGUCGGUGACCACAAGUCACCUGUCUUUUUCUCAUUACAGACCCGUUUGUGUUUACGUGUAGUUUGUCUCUGCAUUCAGCUUUAGCUCGGUGUAAUUCCUGGAUUAGCUUUGGCUGGGUGUGUUUGCCAGAGUAACUUUAGUUAGGUGCGAUUUGUAGACUUGCUUUGCAAACUUGCCAGCUUUGGUCAGCCGGUUGGCGUGAGAUUUUCAAUUCAAGAUGCAUUUACAUGUAUGUAACAGUUUAAUUACCUUGUGAAUAGUCUGUAGGGUUUGCAAACUACCCAAAAGCUUAUAAUGUAGCCAGUUUUAGGUUUACAAUGAAAUAAUAUAGAUUUACCGUAAGAUUUCUUGUGUGAGCUUGAGAAUCUGAAAGCAUGAGCGUCAUGCCGGAUGCGUGAGAGAUAGCAACCCUGCCUUUGGUUAGGUGUGAUUGCUAGAUCAGCUUUGGUUAGGUGUGAUUGCUAGAUCAGCUUUGGUUAGGUGUGAUUGCUAGAUCAGCUUUGGUUAGGUGUGAUUGCUAGAUCAGCUUUGGCUAGGUGUGAUUGCUAGAUCAGCUUUGGUUAGGUGUGAUUGCUAGAUCAGCUUUGGUUCAGCGUGAUUGCUAGAUCAGCUUUGGCUAGGUGUGAUUGCUAGAUCAGCUUUGGUUCGGUGUGAUUGCUAGAUCAGCUUUGGUUAGGUGUGAUUGCUAGAUCAGCUUUGGUUAGGUGUGAUUGCUAGAUCAGCUUUGGUUAGGUGUGAUUGCUAGAUCAGCUUUGGCUAGGUGUGAUUGCUAGAUCAGCUUUGGUUAGGUGUGAUUGUUAGAUCAGCUUUGGCUAGGUGUGAUUGCUAGAUCAGCUUUGGCUACGUGUGAUUGCUAGAUCAGCUUUUGUUAGGUGUGAUUGUUAGAUCAGCUUUGGUUAGGUGUGAUUGUUAGAUCAGCUUUGGUUAGGUGUGAUUGCUAGAUCAGCUUUGGCUACGUGUGAUUGUUAGAUCAGCUUUGGUUAGGUGUGAUUGCUAGAUCAGCUUUGGUUAGGUGUGAUUGUUAGAUCAGCUUUGGUUAGGUGUGAUUGCUAGAUCAGCUUUGGUUAGGUGUGAUUGCUAGAUCAGCUUUGGCUACGUGUGAUUGUUAGAUCAGCUUUGGUUAGGUGUGAUUGCUAGAUCAGCUUUGGCUACGUGUGAUUGUUAGAUCAGCUUUGGUUAGGUGUGAUUGCUAGAUCAGCUUUGGCUACGUGUGAUUGUUAGAUCAGCUUUGGUUAGGUGUGAUUGCUAGAUCAGCUUUAGCUAGGUGUGAUUGCUAGAUCAGCUUUGGUUAGGUGUGAUUGUUAGAUCAGCUUUGGUUAGGUGUGAUUGUUAGAUCAGCUUUGGUUCGGCGUGAUUGCUAGAUCAGCUUUGGUUAGGUGUGAUUUCUAGAUCAGCUUUGGUUAGGUGUGAUUGCUAGAUCAGCUUUGGCUACGUGUGAUUGCUAGAGUAACUUUAACUAGGUGCGACCGCUAGAUUAGCUUUGUGUGGUGGCUAGAUUUUGGUGACUUGCGAGAUUUACUAAAUGACACCUUUCUGCAAAAGAUAUGCUGUUCAAGUCUGUUCAGCAUGUGUAGCAUGUACACGGGCUCCACCCAGUGGUG
Brienomyrus brachyistius is the source of this 3522-nucleotide long non-coding RNA. RefSeq lists it as uncharacterized. The record is from RefSeq and is a predicted model, not a curated record. Lineage: Eukaryota; Metazoa; Chordata; Actinopteri; Osteoglossiformes; Mormyridae. The transcript has 3 exons.